GACCUGCAGUGGGUACGGGCACACUAGAGUGCGGUAGGGGAGAUUGGAAUUCCUGGUGUAGCGGUGGAAUGCGCAGAUAUCAGGAGGAACACCAAUGGCGAAGGCAGAUCUCUGGGCCGUAACUGACGCUGAGGAGCGAAAGCGUGGGGAGCGAACAGGAUUAGAUACCCUGGUAGUCCACGCCGUAAACGGUGGGAACUAGAUGUGGGGUCCGUUCCACGGAUUCCGUGUCGCAGCUAACGCAUUAAGUUCCCCGCCUGGGGAGUACGGCCGCAAGGCUAAAACUCAAAGGAAUUGACGGGGGCCCGCACAAGCGGCGGAGCAUGCGGAUUAAUUCGAUGCAACGCGAAGAACCUUACCAAGGCUUGACAUAUAGAGGAAAGGUGCAGAAAU
Molecule: ribosomal RNA, 393 nt
Filed under: uncultured bacterium
Lineage: Bacteria
Description: bacterial SSU rRNA
Rfam family: Bacterial small subunit ribosomal RNA
Source: RNAcentral